GACGAACGCUGGCGGUGGGCUUAACACAUGCAAGUCGAACGGAAAGGCCCUGCUUUUGUGGGGUGCUCGAGUGGCGAACGGGUGAGUAACACGUGAGUAACCUGCCCUUGACUUUGGGAUAACUUCAGGAAACUGGGGCUAAUACCGUAUAGGAGCUCCUGCUGCAUGGUGGGGGUUGGAAAGUUUCGGCGGUUGGGGAUGGACUCGCGGCUUAUCAGCUUGUUGGUGGGGUAGUGGCUUACCAAGGCUUUGACGGGUAGCCGGCCUGAGAGGGUGACCGGCGACACUGGGACUGAGAUACGGCCCAGACUGCUAAGGGAGGCAGAAGUGGGGAAUAUUGCACCAUGGGCGGAAGCCUGAUGAAGCAACGCCGCGUGCGGGAUGACGGCCUUCGGGUUGUAAACCGCUUGCGCCUGUGACGAAGCGUGAGUGACGGUAAUGGGUAAAGAAGCACCGGCUAACUACGUG
This 468-nucleotide ribosomal RNA is filed under the name uncultured bacterium. RNAcentral's name for it is "partial 16S ribosomal RNA". It matches the Rfam family "Bacterial small subunit ribosomal RNA", at positions 28 to 507 of the family's 1533-position model. The record is from RNAcentral.